Non-coding RNA from Stereum hirsutum FP-91666 SS1, 94 nucleotides. The record is from the annotation of a RefSeq genome assembly. Lineage: Eukaryota; Fungi; Basidiomycota; Agaricomycetes; Russulales; Stereaceae.
GACUCGGUAGCACACCGGUAAAUGCACCUGUACGACAUAAGGCAUCGUUGUGUCAGAUGCACAGGAGGACCCAGUUCGACUCUGGGCUGAGUCA